Molecule: ribosomal RNA, 1392 nt
Filed under: Triticum aestivum (bread wheat)
Lineage: Eukaryota; Viridiplantae; Streptophyta; Magnoliopsida; Poales; Poaceae
Description: partial small subunit ribosomal RNA
Source: RNAcentral
AUGGCGAGCAAGCAAUGGACGCGGGUGCGCACGCUCGGCCGCGGCGCCUCGGGGGCCGAGGUGUUCCUCGCCGCGGACGACGCCUCCGGGGAGCUCUUCGCGGUCAAGUCCGCCACGGCGGCGUGCGCCUCGGCUCUUAAGAGGGAGGAGGGCCUCCUGUGCUGCCUGCGCUCCCCGCGCGUCGUCUCCUGCAUCGGCGGCCGCGCCGCCCGCGACGGCUCCUACCAGCUCUUCCUCGAGUUCGCCCCGGGAGGCUCGCUGGCGGACCGGUCGGCGAUCGACGGGGGGCUCGACGAGCGCGCCGUCCGCGGGUACGCCGCAGACGUGGCGGCCGGGCUCGCGUACCUUCACGGCGCCGGGAUGGUGCACGGGGACGUCAAGGCCAGGAACGUCGUGAUCGGCGCCGACGGCCGCGCCAAGCUCGCGGACUUCGGCUGCGCGAGGAAAGUGGGCGCUGGCGUGCCGAUCAUCGGCGGCACGCCCGCGUUCAUGGCGCCGGAGGUGGCGCGCGGCGAGGAGCAGGGCCCCGCGGCCGACGUCUGGGCGCUCGGCUGCACGGUCGUCGAGAUGGCCACCGGCCGCGCCCCGUGGAACGGCAUGGACGGCGACGCGCUCGCCGCGCUGCACCGGAUCGGGUACACGGAGGCCGUCCCAGAGGUGCCCCAAUGGCUGUCCGCCGAGGCCAAGGACUUUCUGCGCGGGUGCUUGGUCAGGCAUGCCAGCGACCGGUGCACCGCGGCGCAGCUCCUGGAGCACCCGUUCUUGGCCUCCGCCGUGGUCGACGCGAAGCCGCAAGCCAUGGAGAGCAAAUGGGUGUCGCCCAAGAGCACGCUAGACGCGGCAUUAUGGGAGUCGGAGUCCGACACCGAGGAGCCGGAGCAGGACAGCACCGAGAGGAGGAUCAGAGCAUUGGCCAGCCCUGCCUCGGCGCUCCCGGACUGGGACUCGGACGAGGGCUGGAUCGACGUGCUCUCCGCGCCAACCGAAGCAGCGGACGCAGUUGCCGUGCCGACCAAGGAGACGACUGGCAUAACCGUGGACGACGGGAUCACAAGUGAAGAAAAAUCAGUAGAUGCAGAGUCCGGCUUUCCCGACAUUGCCGUUGACGUAGAACACAGCAGCUUCCUCAACGGAGGAGAUGCAUUUGAAGACGAUCCAGUAGGGCACCGUAGGCAUUAUCAGUCUUUGGAGAAUUUAGCUUCUCACCAACCGAUGUCAUGUAAAUUGUUACUAGUACAAACAGUACUGUUUUGCAACAUAAUCGAUUUCGUUCUUACACAGCCAGCAUCCCGCUUCGCGCUGCUCCUCUGUUUUUUUCUCAGCUCAUACUUCUGCUCCCCGUUGCGACGUGCAGUAACUAACAGCUCAUACUUCAACUCGAAGAACAAUUAG